GAUGAACGCUGGCGGCGUGCCUAAUACAUGCAAGUCGAGCGAACAGACGAGGAGCUUGCUCCUCUGACGUUAGCGGCGGACGGGUGAGUAACACGUGGAUAACCUACCUAUAAGACUGGGAUAACUUCGGGAAACCGGAGCUAAUACCGGAUAAUAUAUUGAACCGCAUGGUUCAAUAGUGAAAGACGGUUUUGCUGUCACUUAUAGAUGGAUCCGCGCCGCAUUAGCUAGUUGGUAAGGUAACGGCUUACCAAGGCAACGAUGCGUAGCCGACCUGAGAGGGUGAUCGGCCACACUGGAACUGAGACACGGUCCAGACUCCUACGGGAGGCAGCAGUAGGGAAUCUUCCGCAAUGGGCGAAAGCCUGACGGAGCAACGCCACGUGAGUGAUGAAGGUCUUCGGAUCGUAAAACUCUGUUAUUAGGGAAGAACAAAUGUGUAAGUAACUAUGCACGUCUUGACGGUACCAAAUCAGAAAGCCACGGCUAACUACGUG
RNAcentral lists this ribosomal RNA (497 nucleotides) under uncultured bacterium. RNAcentral's name for it is "partial 16S ribosomal RNA". It matches the Rfam family "Bacterial small subunit ribosomal RNA", at positions 28 to 507 of the family's 1533-position model. The record is from RNAcentral.